This 196-nucleotide unclassified non-coding RNA is filed under the name uncultured Malassezia. RNAcentral's name for it is "sequence contains ITS1". The record is from RNAcentral. Lineage: Eukaryota; Fungi; Basidiomycota; Malasseziomycetes; Malasseziales; Malasseziaceae.
GUGAAUUGCCUGGGGUUUGAGAUACGCACGCUACACAACGUGCCUCUCCCCCAAUCCACUAUUUAUCCACAAACCCUGUGCACCGUGUGGAAGCGCGUUUGGAUUGCUUAAUGGCGUCCGGGCGCCUUCCUUCUCUAAAAACACGCAUGUUUGUAUGAACGUGAUUGAUGUUGGUUCACAACCAACGAACAAAACA